RNAcentral lists this ribosomal RNA (253 nucleotides) under uncultured bacterium. Its description in RNAcentral is "partial 16S ribosomal RNA". It matches the Rfam family "Bacterial small subunit ribosomal RNA", at positions 524 to 775 of the family's 1533-position model. The record is from RNAcentral.
UACGUAGGGUGCGAGCGUUAAUCGGAAUUACUGGGCGUAAAGCGUGCGCAGGCGGUUUUGUAAGCCAGAUGUGAAAUCCCCGGGCUUAACCUGGGAAUGGCAUUUGGGACUGCAAGGCUUGAGUGCGGCAGAGGAGACUGGAAUUCCUGGUGUAGCAGUGAAAAUGCGUAGAUAUCAGGAGGAAUACCGAUGGCGAAGGCAGGUCUCUGGGCUGACACUGACGCUCAUGCACGAAAGCGUGGGGGACAAACGA